RNAcentral lists this ribosomal RNA (918 nucleotides) under Triticum aestivum (bread wheat). RNAcentral's name for it is "partial small subunit ribosomal RNA". Lineage: Eukaryota; Viridiplantae; Streptophyta; Magnoliopsida; Poales; Poaceae. The record is from RNAcentral.
CGCCCCCCCUGCUCGCCGCAGUUUAGGUUUGAGUCCUUUUGGCUCAACCAGGCCGGCUUCCGGGAUGCGGUUUCGGCUCGUUGGACGCUUGCUCGUGCCUCCCCCCAUCGCUCCAUGUCCGCCGUCGACUCGUGGCACUUCUGCGCCAAGCUUACACGCCAAUUCAUGAAGGGCUGGGGUGACAAUCUUGGUCGUGACCUCCGCGAGCGUAAGCGAUCUCUCCUGCUGGCUAUCCAAGCCCUGGACGCUCGGGCCGAUUCCUCUGGGCUUUCUCCGGAUGAGUGGGUGCUGAGGCAUGAUCUUGAGGAUCGGCUUUCCUCCAUCUACACCGAUGAGGAGGCUUACUGGAGGGUGCGUGGGACCCAGCGAUGGGUGCUCCAUGGCGAUGCGAACACUGCUUAUUUCCAGGCAGUUGCGAAUGGACGACACCGUAGAAACUCCAUCCACUGCUUAUGGGCGGAUGACGUCCCCCUUGUCCACCCCGCGUCCAUUCGGGCUCAUGUAGACGACUUCUACAAAGCCCUCUUCUCCCCCACCCCUCGGGGUGGGGCUAGUCUCGCCCCCGACACUUGGUCGGGGGCGCAGCUGGUCUCCGACGAGGCCAACGCGGCCCUUGUUGCCCCCUUCACCGAAGUCGAGGUCCUUGCGGCCAUUAAAGGAAUGAACCCUUCCUCGGCCCCGGGUCCGGAUGGCCUGCCUGUUGCGUUCUUUAAAACAUUCUGGCAGACUGUUAAUCUGGAGGUCAUGGCCUUAUUCGAGGAGUUCUAUUCGCGUUCUAUGGACCUGGGACGCCUCAACUAUGGGAUCAUUACCCUCAUCCCAAAGGUUUCGGGCGCCUCUGAUAUUCGCCAGUUCCGCCCUAUCACUGUGAUUAACGUGAUAUUCAGGAUCCUGGCCAAAGGGUACGCCAAUAGGGUG